Long non-coding RNA from Struthio camelus australis, 387 nucleotides. RefSeq lists it as uncharacterized. The record is from RefSeq and is a predicted model, not a curated record. Lineage: Eukaryota; Metazoa; Chordata; Aves; Struthioniformes; Struthionidae.
GGCUCGCCUGAGUGCCGGGGCCUCACAACACGCCGUGUGUCGUCUCAUGGUGUGGCGUCACGUAGUUCCUGUGCUACCCACUGCAGCUGUGCCAGGCAGCCGAGGACACUGCUGUGCAGAUCAGGACAGCUGAACUUUCCAUUUACUCACCCUUCCAGGAAGGAUUACCCUGUUAAUCAGGAAGCGCCUGCCAAAACAAAGAAAGAGAUAAACCACAACCUUUUUGGAGAUGUGCAAAAUAGGAAGGAUUCCUUCCUCUUGCUUUCUGUGUCAACACUUCUGUAGCUUUCAACAUUUUGAUAUAUCCUGCAUUAUUAAAAUGCGUUAUUCAGAUGAGUCACUCAGCAACUGCAGGUGUAAGCUUAAGGUGGUACAAGGGACAACAAU